CCCUUUCACUCAUCACCAUGGAUAAUCCAAUAUGGUACCAUUGUUGGGUCCAGGAACGACAACAACUCCGAAACCUAAAACUCAAAGACUCCUUCAAAAUCGAAGUUAAAGCCCUCCUUCGAUAUUACCUCCCAAUCAAUGAUCCUAACUCUCAUUCACCUAUCAUAGAUACAAUAUCCUUGUUCCAAACCUCUAUCACCCUACCCUGCAAAC
This 213-nucleotide long non-coding RNA is filed under the name Lupinus angustifolius (narrow-leaved blue lupine). Its description in RNAcentral is "long non-coding RNA (LANG_LNC002063)". Lineage: Eukaryota; Viridiplantae; Streptophyta; Magnoliopsida; Fabales; Fabaceae. The record is from RNAcentral.